This 237-nucleotide unclassified non-coding RNA is filed under the name rhizosphere metagenome. RNAcentral's name for it is "partial ribosomal RNA internal transcribed spacer region". The record is from RNAcentral.
GAAAUAAAUCUAGGCUGAGAGAAAGGAAGGAGGGUUGUAGCUGGCCUUUACCCGCACGUGCACGCCCUCUUUCUGGAUCCUUGGUCUUAUGGGCGCGGGGCGACCCGCGUCUUCAUAAGCCCCCUUCGUGUAGAAAGUCUAUGAAUGUUUUUACGAUCAUCGAGUCGCGACUUCUAGGAGACGCGGUUCUUUGAGACAAAAGUUAUUACAACUUUCAGCAAUGGAUCUCUUGGCUCU